RNAcentral lists this unclassified non-coding RNA (369 nucleotides) under soil metagenome. RNAcentral's name for it is "partial contains 5.8S ribosomal RNA, internal transcribed spacer 2, and large subunit ribosomal RNA". The stretch from base 1 to 120 matches the Rfam family "5.8S ribosomal RNA", at positions 35 to 154 of the family's 154-position model. The record is from RNAcentral.
GAUGAAGAACGCAGCGAAAUGCGAUAAGUAAUGUGAAUUGCAGAAUUCAGUGAACCAUCGAAUCUUUGAACGCACAUUGCGCCCGGCAGUAAUCUGCCGGGCAUGCCUGUCCGAGCGUCAUUUCUGCCCUCGAGCGAGUUCCAGCAUCUAGGUGCUGGUGCUCGCCCGGCGUUGGGGCACUACGGUAGAGCCCUGUGCUGUCCGUAGGCCCUGAAAUGAAGUGGCGGUCCUGCCGCGGCGCCCCCUGCGUAGUAUAACAGCUCGCUUCGGGACCCGGUGGAGGCCAGCCGUCAAACCUAUAUUCUCUAAGUUUGACCUCGGAUCAGGUAGGGUUACCCGCUGAACUUAAGCAUAUCAAUAAGCGGAGGA